UCCCCCAGUAACGGCGAGUGAAGCGGGAAGAGCUCAAGCUUAAAAUCUCCAUGUUUACAUGGCGAAUUGUAGUCUAUUGAGGCUGUUGUCAGCAUAGCGAUCUGGGACAAGUCCCUUGGAAAAGGGCAGCAUAGAGGGUGAUACUCCCGUCUCUGCUCAGAUUGUCUGUGUGUACGAUACGCUUUCUUUGAGUCGAGUUGUUUGGGAAUACAGCUCAAAGUAGGUGGUAAAUUCCAUCUAAAGCUAAAUAUUGGUGCGAGACCGAUAGCGAACAAGUACCGUGAGGGAAAGAUGAAAAGAACUUUGAAAAGAGAGUUAAAGAGUACCUGAAACUGUUGAAAGGGAACCGUAACAUUUCCAGUGUUGUAUCCUGUGCAUAUUUCAUUAGCGGAGUAAUUUGCUGGUGCCCUGUGCAUGGGUGUGACGUCAGGGUCAGUUUGUAUGCCGCGGGAGAUGGUUAGUGAGGAGGUGCGUCACUUCGGUGUCAGUUAUACCUUGCUAUCUAGUAGCCGUGGUUGAGACUGAGGUGCCUACAACAUGCCUUGAGGUUCGGUGUUGUCUCGUUGUGGUGACUGCUUGGAUAGCUUGCUAUGCCUGUGGUUAAUCAUGGCGAUUGAUGAUGUCGAUAACCUCUGCUGUUCGGGACUCUGGCGAAAUGGAGUGUUACGACCCGUCUUGAAACACGGACCAAGGAGUCUAACAUGUGUGCAAGUAUUAGGGCGUGGAAACCCAAAUGCGUAAUGAAAGUAAAUGGUGCUUAUGCAUCUGUGGUAGGAAAGGGCUGUAAUGGUCCUGGCACUAUCGACCGAUCAUGAACCUACGGGUGAAAGAUUUGAGUAUGAGCAUAUAUGUUGGUACCCGAAAGAUGGUGAACUAUGCCUGAAUAGGGUGAAGCCAGGGGAAACUCUGGUGGAAGCUCGUAGCGAUUCUGACGUGCAAAUCGAUCGUCAAAUUUGGGUAUAGGGGCGAAAGACUAAUCGAACCAUCUAGUAGCUGGUUCCCUCCGAAAUUUCCCUCAGGAUAGCAGCAACUUUUUACGAUAGUUUUAUGAGGUAAAGCGAAUGAUUAGAGGCCUCGGGGAAGAAACUUCCUCGA
Molecule: ribosomal RNA, 1095 nt
Filed under: Saprolegnia turfosa
Lineage: Eukaryota; Oomycota; Saprolegniomycetes; Saprolegniales; Saprolegniaceae
Description: eukaryotic LSU rRNA
Rfam family: Eukaryotic large subunit ribosomal RNA
Source: RNAcentral